This 101-nucleotide small nuclear RNA is filed under the name Castor canadensis (American beaver). Lineage: Eukaryota; Metazoa; Chordata; Mammalia; Rodentia; Castoridae. The record is from RNAcentral.
GUGCUCACCUUGGCAGCACAAAUACUAAAAUGGAAGCAACACAGAAAAGGUUAGCCCCUGAACAGGCAUGGACACACACUUGUGAGACGUUCCAUAUUUUU